Molecule: ribosomal RNA, 250 nt
Filed under: uncultured bacterium
Lineage: Bacteria
Description: partial 16S ribosomal RNA
Rfam family: Bacterial small subunit ribosomal RNA
Source: RNAcentral
UACGGAGGGGGCUAGCGUUGUUCGGAAUGACUGGGCGUAAAGCGCGCGUAGGCGGAUAGUUAAGUCGGGGGUGAAAUCCCGGGGCUCAACCCCGGAACUGCCUUCGAUACUGGCUGUCUAGAGUUCUGGAGAGGUGAGUGGAAUUCCGAGUGUAGAGGUGAAAUUCGUAGAUAUUCGGAGGAACACCAGUGGCGAAGGCGGCUCACUGGCCAGAUACUGACGCUGAGGUGCGAAAGCGUGGGGAGCAAAC